GCUCUCUGGGGAGGGAGAGGGAGAGAAGUCCCAGCCCACCCUGCAGAGAGAGGGGCAGGCUCCAACGCAGGAGCCGGAGCCGGGAUUCGCGCGUUGUCAUGCACAUGGAGAGGAGGUGGGGGAUCCUCUGCAAGCAUGUGCAUGGGUGCUCCAGAGACGCCCACCCUCCCCGGAUGAUAACGGAGGCACAAGGCAAGCCUGGCGGCUCCCCUGCUCUAGGCGCGGGCUUAACUCCCAGCUGACUGCAGCAUCUGGAUCCGCCUGAGCCUUUGCAGAGUCAGGGCCUCAAAACCUCCGGGCGAACACAGCCUGCGCCCGAAUCUUCCCCCGCGGGAGCCGGAGGGGUCCGCUCAGCGAGGGGGGGGAAAUCAUCCGGAGCGACCAGAGGGUCCGAUGCCAGUUUCCAUGGAAACAGCCGGGAGCAGAAACCGGGAACCAGAAUCCAGAAACGCGAAGCCUCGCGCUCCUGUUCAUUGCGCUCCCUGGAUUCCAGCUCCCGUUCCCCCAGGGAAACUGGCUUCGCACGCAGGAGCCGAGAGGCAGGCGCGGGCUGCAGCCGCAGCGUGGCAGCUCCCCGGGACGGCCCCGCCGCGGCAGAGCUUUUGUGCAGGCCGCUCCGGCCCCCGGUUCUGGAAGCAGUCGGGAGAGCGGCCGGCAGCUGGGGCCGAGGCCGCUCCUGGGGAGAUCUCAGCUGCUGGCUUCCUGCGGGGGGAUGUGAGUGUCAGGUUCCAGCGCCAGCCCAGCUCCGGACCCGUGUGAGCCGGGCGGUGGCUGGGCCGAGGGCUGCGGCGCUCACGCCUUCCAGAAAUUCAGCGCGCCACGGUCCCGCCAGCCCGUCGGCUCCUCUCGGGGUCCCAGACGAUGCCGCUGCGGUCAACCCAUGGGGUUGGUGGUGGGGGCGGGGGGAGAAGGGCCUCGCCAAGCCCCCGGACCUGCAUCUUGUAUGGGCAGGACGUGCAUGGACGUGUCUGUGGUGCCGGGGACUAGCGGGUCUCCGGUGCAUCCAGCCCCCAUGGGUGAGGCUCUGUCGGGUCCUGCCCCUAUUCCAAAACCCAGCUGCCCCGUGACAGGAGACAACAGGUGGGGAGAGCACGUGGCCGGGGGGGCUGGUGAGAUGCACAACCAGCCCUGUCCCGCAUAACCGGCCAGGGGCACACGUGCUUCAUGGUGUCACCAAGGAGCCUCUGUUGUGCACCUCCGCAGCCUGGUGCUGUACAAGUCCAGAGCAAGGAGAGCCCGGAGCAUUGCGUGCAGCUAAUGGCAGCGCUGUGAUCACCCAGGGUACGUGAGGGGCAUGUUCUGCACACCCAGGCAGCCAUGGGAGCAGGGCAGAUGGGACCUGCCCCUGCACGCGGGGUGUUUGGCUGCAGUUGCAAGCUGCCCAGGGCCCAGCUGCAUCAUGGCCCCCAGGGGCCUGGCAUGAGCAGUGCAGCAAGGCCAGAGAGCAUGAGCAGAGCUCCCUGCUCCCCAGCGCUCUGCAGAGGGUCCGGGCAGCUCCUCGGGGUCCGUCUCCCCAUCUGUACGCUCGGCAGCAGGGGGAGGGGGCUGGCUGCUUUCGAAGCAGAGACACGCGUUGCACCGGAGGCAAGAGCAGAGCGGAGACGUUCAGGGUAGUGGGGGGGCCAGGCUGCCGCACGGUGCCUGUGUGCAUAUAUCCUAGCUGUCAGGCCGUCCUGGCGCGCGCAACGACGCAGGCCCCGUUCCCUGCCUAUCGCAGCCGGCUCGCUCAGCCUGGCCUUCACCAGCUCGGCAGAGGCUGAUAAAGGAGCUGCCUCGGCUUCGGGGCUGCAUCUGCUUUCGCCUUCGAAGCACGAGCCCCGGGCACCGGGGAUCCAGGCUC
This 1840-nucleotide long non-coding RNA is filed under the name Crocodylus porosus (Australian saltwater crocodile). Its description in RNAcentral is "lncRNA (ENSCPRG00005003252.1)". Lineage: Eukaryota; Metazoa; Chordata; Crocodylia; Crocodylidae. The record is from RNAcentral.